RNA transcript from Setaria italica (foxtail millet), 1530 nucleotides. It is a transcript of the gene named MADS-box transcription factor 27, with no coding region annotated. The transcript is spliced from 9 exons. The record is from RefSeq and is a predicted model, not a curated record. Lineage: Eukaryota; Viridiplantae; Streptophyta; Magnoliopsida; Poales; Poaceae.
GGAAAGCAACUAAAGGAAAGCCAACUUGCAAAGCCACCAGCAAAGAACUAAUCUCUCCCUCGUCUUCUUGUUCCUCUCUCUACUCCCCUCCAAUAAUUCGCCUAUCUGGGAAACCAGCUGGGAGCCCUCUCCUUCCAGAGCUCCGGCAGGCCUGGUUCCCAUUCUCUGUUUCUCUCUCUCCAUUGCUAUCCGUGCGUGCCUGCAAGAUCGGCCAGAGCUUGAAGGAUGGGGCGGGGCAAGAUAGUGAUCCGCCGGAUCGACAACUCCACGAGCCGGCAGGUGACGUUCUCCAAACGGCGGAACGGGAUCUUCAAGAAGGCGAGGGAGCUCGCCAUCCUCUGCGACGCGGAGGUCGGGCUGGUCAUAUUCUCCAGCACCGGCCGCCUCUACGAAUACGCCAGCACCAGCAUGAAGUCGGUAAUUGAUCGAUACGGCAGAGCGAAGGAGCAGCAGCAACUUGUGGCUAACCCCAAUACAGAGCUUAAGUUCUGGCAAAGGGAGGCAGCAAGCUUGAGACAACAACUGCACAACUUGCAAGAAAAUCAUCGGCAGUUGAUGGGACAAGAUCUUUCCGGAUUGGGUGUCAAGGAACUUCAAAAUCUAGAAAAUCAGCUAGAAAUGAGCCUACGUUGCAUCCGGACGAAAAAGGACCAACUCUUGGUUGAUGAAAUUCACGAACUGAGUCGAAAGGGAAGUCUCAUUCAACAAGACAACAUGGAAUUAUGCAGAAAGGUCAACGUGAUUCAUCAGGAAAAUGUCGAAUUAUAUAAGCUCUACGAGAAAGAAGCGGCAGGUGAAGUCAGCGGAGAUUCAACUACUCCAUACAACUUUGCAGUUGUUGAGAAUGCCAACAUUCCUAUUCAUCUUGAGCUCAAUACUCUGCCACAAGAAGAUGUUGAGCAACCUGCACCUCCUAAAUUAGGGUUGCAAUUAAAUCCAUGAAGACAUGCAGUAUGGCAUAGCUUAUGUUCUCAUUGUCCUUAAAAUCUGCAACUCAAAGCAGCCAGGAAUGACUAGUCGAAAUGGGGCCUAAAGCCCUAAGCGCACAGCAAGACAGAUAAAGUAUGCAUGCAAUGGACGAUUGGCAAUAGUAGUGUAUAUCUAUCUCAAAUAAGAUGUACUUUGUGACGAGUGCAGCAAAUGGACAUAUCUCUAAGUUUCUCAAUCAAGGAUUAUGACGUCUAUUUGUCAACCUAUGUAGUUGUGCGCUACCAAGCUUUGAUAAGCGGAGCUCAAGCUUAAUGAAGCUUCAACCAAGCUGAGACCGAGCUUCAAUACAAGGUUCAAAAGGUUGAAUUCACCUACAGACCUACCUAGGGCUCACUCGAGCUCAGCUAAUUGACGGCACUAUACAAAGGUGUGGCAGUGCGUUAGUGCAAACAAUGUUCACCGAGAUAUCUCGUCGUCAGAUGAAGGAUAGGCAAUGUAGUAUCUCAUUAUGCACAUUUAUUUCAGGAUUUACUCGUGGUAAACAAAAAAUUGCAGAAAGCUUCAGGUGAAUGAUACUACAUGCUUCAUACUUUCAGUGAA